RNAcentral lists this microRNA precursor (103 nucleotides) under Marmota monax (woodchuck). The record is from RNAcentral. Lineage: Eukaryota; Metazoa; Chordata; Mammalia; Rodentia; Sciuridae.
AGUGGGAUAGCUGGGUCAAAUGGUGAUUUGAUUCUAAGUUUUCUAAGGAAACUCCAUACUGCUUUCCAGAAUGGUUGUACCCAUUUGCAGUCCCGUCAGCAAU